Molecule: long non-coding RNA, 270 nt
Organism: Suricata suricatta (meerkat)
Lineage: Eukaryota; Metazoa; Chordata; Mammalia; Carnivora; Herpestidae
Exons: 3
Source: RefSeq, a predicted model, not a curated record
CCGAUGCGCAGGCGCGGGCUGGCCAGCUGGGCCUGCAGGUGGAGGGCCUGAGGCGGCGCCUGGAGGAGCUGCAGCAGGAACUGAGCAACAAGGACCAAGAAAAGGUGGCGGAGGUGACCAGGGUGCGGGUGGAGCUGCAGGAGCAGAAUGGCCGCCUGCAGGCAGAACUGACGGCCCAGGAGGCGCUGAGGGAGAAGGUGGCGGCCCUGGAGCGCCAGCUGAAAGGUUCCCCCAGGCCCCACCCGCUGCCGUUCUCCGGACGGGGCCUUG